RNAcentral lists this ribosomal RNA (253 nucleotides) under uncultured bacterium. RNAcentral's name for it is "partial 16S ribosomal RNA". It matches the Rfam family "Bacterial small subunit ribosomal RNA", at positions 524 to 776 of the family's 1533-position model. The record is from RNAcentral.
UACGUAGGGGGCAAGCGUUGUCCGGAAUCAUUGGGCGUAAAGAGCGUGUAGGCGGCUCGGUAAGUCCGCUGUGAAAGUCCAGGGCUCAACCCUGGAAUGCCGGUGGAAACUGUCGAGCUAGAGUCCGGAAGAGGAGUGUGGAAUUCCCGGUGUAGCGGUGAAAUGCGCAGAUAUCGGGAAGAACACCCGUGGCGAAGGCGGCACUCUGGGACGGUACUGACGCUGAGACGCGAAAGCGUGGGGAGCGAACAGG